AGCGAACGCUGGCGGCAGGCCUAACACAUGCAAGUCGAACGAACUCUUCGGAGUAGGUGGCGCCGGGGGGGUUACACUGGGGGACGGGGCCUUAAGGUCGGGAAAACUUCGGGGAACUUGGUGCUAAUCCCGAUUGGCCCUUUCGGGGAAAGAAUUAUCGCCUUUUGAGCGGGCCGGGGCUGAUUAGCUCGUUCGGGAGGUAAAGGGCCACCAAGGCGACGAUCAGUAGCUGGUCUGAGAGGAUGAUCAGCCACAUUGGGACUGAGACACGGCCCAAACUCCUACGGGAGGCAGCAGUGGGGAAUCUUGCGCAAUGGGCGAAAGCCUGACGCAGCCAUGCCGCGUGAAUGAUGAAGGUCUUAGGAUUGUAAAAUUCUUUCACCGGGGACGAUAAUGACGGUACCCGGAGAAGAAGCCCCGGCUAACUUCGUG
Molecule: ribosomal RNA, 432 nt
Filed under: uncultured bacterium
Lineage: Bacteria
Description: partial 16S ribosomal RNA
Rfam family: Bacterial small subunit ribosomal RNA
Source: RNAcentral